AUGCGAUAAGUAAUGUGAAUUGCAGAAUUCAGUGAAUCAUCGAAUCUUUGAACGCACAUUGCGCCCACUAGUAUUCUGGUGGGCAUGCCUGUUCGAGCGUCAUUUCAACCCUCAAGCCUUAGUUGCUUGGUGUUGGGAGCUUAUCUUGCCGAAAGGCGGGCAACUCCUUAAAACUAUUGGCGGAGUCGCGGUGACCCCAAGCGUAGUAAAUUUUCUUUUUCUCGCUUUAGGUGUUAGCGCUAUCUUCUAGCCGUUAAACCCCCUAAAUCUUUUAGUGGUUGACCUCGGAUCAGGUAGGACUACCCGCUGAACUUAA
This 316-nucleotide unclassified non-coding RNA is filed under the name uncultured Monosporascus. RNAcentral's name for it is "partial contains 5.8S ribosomal RNA, internal transcribed spacer 2, and large subunit ribosomal RNA". The stretch from base 1 to 102 matches the Rfam family "5.8S ribosomal RNA", at positions 53 to 154 of the family's 154-position model. The record is from RNAcentral. Lineage: Eukaryota; Fungi; Ascomycota; Sordariomycetes; Sordariales.